GAUGAACGCUGGCGGCGUGCUUAACACAUGCAAGUCGAACGAAGCACUUUAUUUGAUUUCCUUCGGGACUGAUUAUUUUGUGACUGAGUGGCGGACGGGUGAGUAACGCGUGGGUAACCUGCCUUGUACAGGGGGAUAACAGUUGGAAACGGCUGCUAAUACCGCAUAAGCGCACGGCAUCGCAUGAUGCAGAGUGAAAAACUCCGGUGGUAUAAGAUGGACCCGCGUUGGAUUAGCUAGUUGGUGAGGUAACGGCCCACCAAGGCGACGAUCCAUAGCCGACCUGAGAGGGUGACCGGCCACAUUGGGACUGAGACACGGCCCAAACUCCUACGGGAGGCAGCAGUGGGGAAUAUUGCACAAUGGGCGAAAGCCUGAUGCAGCGACGCCGCGUGAGCGAAGAAGUAUUUCGGUAUGUAAAGCUCUAUCAGCAGGGAAGAUAAUGACGGUACCUGACUAAGAAGCACCGGCUAAAUACGUG
This 481-nucleotide ribosomal RNA is filed under the name uncultured bacterium. Its description in RNAcentral is "partial 16S ribosomal RNA". It matches the Rfam family "Bacterial small subunit ribosomal RNA", at positions 28 to 507 of the family's 1533-position model. The record is from RNAcentral.